UAAUUGGAUUUUUUAAAAUCCACAAUCAUGUGCUAAUAAAAUAAUU
Molecule: non-coding RNA, 46 nt
Organism: Ornithorhynchus anatinus (platypus)
Lineage: Eukaryota; Metazoa; Chordata; Mammalia; Monotremata; Ornithorhynchidae
Source: Rfam